Long non-coding RNA from Dreissena polymorpha, 852 nucleotides. RefSeq lists it as uncharacterized. Lineage: Eukaryota; Metazoa; Mollusca; Bivalvia; Myida; Dreissenidae. The record is from RefSeq and is a predicted model, not a curated record. The transcript is spliced from 3 exons.
UGCAUUUCAAGCAUUGAGCAUGGUGUCCAAAACCUUCGAACGGGCAUAUCUUGUAACAGUUUGGCACUCUUGUUUAAAACUGACGAUGCAUGAAACUAUUUUCACUCAUAUUUUUUAUGUAAUUUAAAUGCCAAAAUUUAGAAAAUGCAUAUGAAUGUGAAACGAAACUGUAAGUAAGUAAAUAGUGUUACAGUUACUGUACAAACAACCCAUUUUUCAAAAGAAGCGUUUUUUUUUUUGUAAACUGUACUGAUGGUUUUGCUAGUUAUGCCAUAGGUUGUUGAUAACUCGCGUUUGUUCAGCUAAUUUCAUUAUUUCUUUUAUAGCCAUUAAUGUGUUAUCAUGGUCAUUGACGUGAACAAAAGCAAACUGUUAUUUUUACAGCAUCCAGUAAAAAUACCCAUAUUGUAAAUCACACGGGUACUACUGCUCUAAUGUUUGAUCAAGAAUGCAUCUAAUGGAUAAUCAAACUAGUGGUUUCACUCAAUUGAUUUUUGCAUAUAUAGGUAGGUGUACCUAGAGAUUGAGCUGGAGACAGUGAAGGUGCUGACCUCUGUGUGCAACACUUAGAAGCUGGCAAGUUUUCAUAUUGAAGGGUAUGGUUCCCAACCGCCCAUCACACACAGAAUGUAGCUUGUCGUCUUCCGCAGUAAAAACUGGGUGCUGGAAGAUGCUUACUGCUAUAUUGACUGCUUCCGAGCGCUUCCUGGACCUAAAAAUUAUCUCCCAGCAGCAACCUCCCCAAGGUGUGACGAGAGUCUUCAAGUGUUCCAGACGGCUGGUGAUGCAUUUCAAGAAAAGCCAUCAGAAUCUUGCAAUGAUCUGUAUACUUAAUAAAUGACAAAACAACAA